GUAUCAUGGCUCAGGAUGAACGCUAGCGACAGGCCUAACACAUGCAAGUCGAGGGGCAGCGAAGAGGUAGCAAUACCUUUGUCGGCGACCGGCGCACGGGUGAGUAACACGUAUGCAAUCCACCUGUAACAGGGGGAGUAACCCGGAGAAAUCCGGACUAAUACCCCAUAAUAUGGGCGCUCCGCAUGGAGGAGCCCAUUAAAGAGAGCAAUUUUGGUUACAGACGAGCAUGCGCUCCA
Molecule: ribosomal RNA, 239 nt
Filed under: uncultured bacterium
Lineage: Bacteria
Description: partial 16S ribosomal RNA
Rfam family: Bacterial small subunit ribosomal RNA
Source: RNAcentral